Gossypium raimondii (Peruvian cotton) is the source of this 996-nucleotide long non-coding RNA. RefSeq lists it as uncharacterized. NCBI's taxonomy places the organism in Eukaryota, Viridiplantae, Streptophyta, Magnoliopsida, Malvales, Malvaceae. The record is from RefSeq and is a predicted model, not a curated record. The transcript is spliced from 2 exons.
AAAUAUUUUGCACAAUUUUAAAGAAAUAAAAAACAAUUUAAAAACACUGCAAAAACAGGGGGACCAAUUGCGAAAAUGCCCCAUUUUCAAGAAUACCCUAUAAAAAUCAAUUUUAAAACCCUAAAAAUCACUUCUUCAGCCACCCCACAAAUGCGCCGCAGCUCUCCUCCCUCACUGCCUCUCCGCAUCCCUUUCAUUCCGACGACGGAACAAAGAGGUUCUCCGACGCCGCUCGCGACGGUGUGGGCGUUGGAGAACGUGGGUUGUGCGAGGGGAACGUGUUGUGACGGAGACGAUAACCGCUGGAGGAAGAACGGUUGCUGUGGCGCGAUCUGCAGUUUCUGCCUCCAUUGUUGCUGAAGACCUGUUGUAGGCUGGGGUUUGCACACUUGGGCCUUACUGGGCCAAAUGUAAUUGGGUUAGGACUGGCCUAAGUUUUAUUGGGUUUGAUUAGUUAAUUUAGGCACCGGGCAACAAUUGGGUAUUAAAACUAGGUCUGUAAUUUAUUGCAUUUUUAUUUUAAGGUUUAUGUAUUUGGGCCCGGGCUAAAAUGGCCUAUUACAGCUGACAUUUUGACAAAGCCUCUUGGCACAAUUUGGUUUGAAUUUCUAAGGGAUUCAAUCGGUGUUUGUUGCCUACAGUCCAAAGAGGAGUGUUAAGCAUGGACUGCAAUGCAACAGGUAACCAUAAAGCUCACCAGCAGCAGUAGACCAGCUUUAGAAUCGAACAGGAGCUGCUUGUUUCAUUUUGUUUAUUUUGAUUUUUUUUGUAAAGCAAUCAAGUUGACAUGUAACUUGAUUUCUAGAGUUAGUAAGAUAUGAAAAUGAUGGCUGUAAUAGCUGAUUUAUUUUCAGCUUUUGACUUGUAUUAUUUUAGUUGGCAACUUGCCAAAUUUGGUGGGAGUAGUUACAUGUUUAGGUAAUUGACUUGUUGCUUUUGUAACUCUUUUAUAUUUUGAAAUGAAAAUGAAAGCAGUAGGACUUUCUCAUUCGGUUA